GAGUUUGAUCAUGGCUCAGGAUGAACGCCGGCGGUGUGCCUAAUACAUGCAAGUCGUACGCACUGGCCCAACUGAUUGAUGGUGCUUGCACCUGAUCGACGAUGGAUCACCAGUGAGUGGCGGACGGGUGAGUAACACGUAGGUAACCUGCCCUGUACGGGGGGAUAACAAUCAGAAAUGACUGCUAAUACCGCAUAAGACCACAGCACCGCAUGGUGCAGGGGUAAAAACUCCGGUGGUACAGGAUGGACCCGCGUCUGAUUAGCUGGUUGGUGAGGUAACGGCUCACCAAGGCGACGAUCAGUAGCCGGCUUGAGAGAGUGAACGGCCACAUUGGGACUGAGACACGGCCCAAACUCCUACGGGAGGCAGCAGUGGGGAAUAUUGCACAAUGGGGAAACCCUGAUGCAGCAACGCCGCGUGAGUGAAGAAGUAUUUCGGUAUGUAAAGCUCUAUCAGCAGGGAAGAAAGUGACGGUACCUGACUAAGAAGCCCGGCUAACUACG
This 506-nucleotide ribosomal RNA is filed under the name uncultured microorganism. Its description in RNAcentral is "bacterial SSU rRNA". It matches the Rfam family "Bacterial small subunit ribosomal RNA", at positions 9 to 505 of the family's 1533-position model. The record is from RNAcentral.